AAUAGAUACCCGGGUAGUCCAUGCCGUAAACGUUGGGCACUAGGUGUGGGGGACAUUCCACGUUUUCCGCGCCGUAGCUAACGCAUUAAGUGCCCCGCCUGGGGAGUACGGCCGCAAGGCUAAAACUCAAAGGAAUUGACGGGGGCCCGCACAAGCGGCGGAGCAUGCGGAUUAAUUCGAUGCAACGCGAAGAACCUUACCAAGGCUUGACAUGUUCCAGACCGGGCUAGAGAUAGUCCUUCCCUUCGGGGCUGGUUCACAGGUGGUGCAUGGUUGUCGUCAGCUCGUGUCGUGAGAUGUUGGGUUAAGUCCCGCAACGAGCGCAACCCUCGUUCCAUGUUGCCAGCACGUAGUGGUGGGGACUCAUGGGAGACUGCCGGGGUCAACUCGGAGGAAGGUGGGGAUGACGUCAAAGUCAUCAUGCCCCUUAUGUCUUGGGCUUCACGCAUGCUACAAUGGCCGGUACAAUGGGUUGCGAUACUGUGAGGUGGAGCUAAUCCCGUAAAAGCCGGUCUCAGUUCGGAUUGGGGUCUGCAACUCGACCCCU
This 547-nucleotide ribosomal RNA is filed under the name uncultured bacterium. Its description in RNAcentral is "bacterial SSU rRNA". It matches the Rfam family "Bacterial small subunit ribosomal RNA", at positions 777 to 1320 of the family's 1533-position model. The record is from RNAcentral.